Molecule: transfer RNA, 83 nt
Filed under: Candidatus Daviesbacteria bacterium RIFCSPHIGHO2_01_FULL_38_8
Lineage: Bacteria; Candidatus Daviesiibacteriota
Description: tRNA-Leu
Rfam family: tRNA
About the family: Transfer RNA (tRNA) molecules are approximately 80 nucleotides in length.
Source: RNAcentral
GCCGAAGUGGUGGAAUGGUAGACACGUACGGUUCAGAGCCGUAUGCCCGUAAGGGCGUGGAGGUUCAAGUCCUCUCUUCGGCA